RNAcentral lists this ribosomal RNA (228 nucleotides) under uncultured bacterium. Its description in RNAcentral is "partial 16S ribosomal RNA". It matches the Rfam family "Bacterial small subunit ribosomal RNA", at positions 94 to 339 of the family's 1533-position model. The record is from RNAcentral.
AGCGGCGGACGGGUGAGUAACGCGUGGGAACAUACCCUUUGGUACGGAAUAGCCUCGGGAAACUGGGAGUAAUACCGUAUGUGCCCUUCGGGGGAAAGAUUUAUCGCUAUGAGAUUGGCCCGCGCAAGAUUAGCUUGUUGGUAAGGUAAUGGCUUACCAAGGCUCCGAUCUUUAGCUGGUUUGAGAGGACGGCCAGCCACACUGGGACUGAGACACGGCCCAGACUCC